UACGGAGGGUGCAAACGUUGCUCGGAAUCAUUGGGCGUAAAGCGCACGUAGGCGGUCCGGAAAGUCGGGUGUGAAAGCCCUCGGCUCAACCGAGGAAGUGCAUUCGAAACUACCGGGCUUGAAUACUGAAGAGGAUCGCGGAAUUCCCGGUGUAGAGGUGAAAUUCGUAGAUAUCGGGAGGAACACCAGUGGCGAAGGCGGCGAUCUGGGCAGAUAUUGACGCUGAGGUGCGAAAGCGUGGGGAGCAAAC
RNAcentral lists this ribosomal RNA (250 nucleotides) under uncultured bacterium. RNAcentral's name for it is "partial 16S ribosomal RNA". It matches the Rfam family "Bacterial small subunit ribosomal RNA", at positions 524 to 773 of the family's 1533-position model. The record is from RNAcentral.